CCUUAGGAGCAGGAGGCCGAGCAGCCAGGGCUGCUUUCCCAUCGCUGUCUCAGCUGCUCCCGCUGGCCUUCUGCUCAGGCUGGUGUCUCCUUGGCCGGCUCCCUGCUUCUCAGCUCGUGCCUCCAGCCUUCUGGACUCUAGGAUCACAUGUGGCUGCCCACCUCGGACAGGGUUGACUAGAGGUGAAGAGGUGCCAUGCACUCCAGGAGAAGAGCUGACUGGAUCCUAUACUCAAAGAAUGGGCCGCGGAUCCCUGCCUGUCCACUGUUUGUUACUGGGCUGGGAAGCUGCAAGACCCGAUGCUGGGGAACUUCCAGUCUAUGCUGAGUAAGAGUGAUGAGAGCAGACAUCCUGCCUUUGUUCCUAAUCUUAGGAGGAAAGCAUUCAAUCUUUCACAGGUGCCUGCCAAAUGCUCCAAACAGCAUCUCCAUCUGCCACUGAUACUUCAAGAACCACUGGAUCUGCUGGGUCAUAUGGUCUAAGUGACAGAGCGGCUUGCACAACAGCCUGAACCUGUUGCAGAGCAUUCUCUUCUUCUGGGCCCCACUCAAAACAAGCAGCUUUUGGAGUUACUCAGUCACUCAGUGAAUGGAUCAGAUUAGCAAACCCAGAUGAGGAAUAUAUUGCCUCCAAAAUCCAGAGAGACACACUAGGCAUUGUGCCUUUUUGUUGAUAUUGCUGUAGGAGAGGCCAGAUUCAACAACUUAGCCUUCAUUUUAGAACUAAUAUAUUGGAAUGCCCCACUCUACCAGAUCCUUAGAAAUGUCACUGAGGUAGAAGGCCCCUGAAUUUUUUUUUUUUUUUUUUUUUGAGAUGCAGUCUCACUCUGUCGCCCAGGCUGGAGUACAGUGGCCUAAUCUUGGCUCACUGCAAGCUUCGCCUCCCGGGUUCAAGCCAUUCUCCUGCCUCAGCCUCCUGAGUAGCUGGGACUACAGGUGCCCACCACCACGCACAGCUACUGUUUUGUAUUUUUAGUAGAGACGGGGUUUCACCAUGUUAGCCAGGAUGGUCUUGAUUUCCUGACCUCAUGAUCUGCCCGCCUCAGCCUCCCAAAGUGCUGGGAUUACAGGCGUAAGCCACCGCACCUGGCCGGCCCCUGAAUUUUUAUUGGAUUUAUUUCUUACCUCCCGGCAUGUAAAUGUCUUUUCAAUAAAUCUAGAGUAGUUACAUUUCUUGCUCACUAGGUCCAGUCAGUGUAAUGUCAUCAAGGUAAUGCACCAGUAUGAUAUCUUGUGGAAGGGAAACACAGUCAAGAUCCUGUGAACUAAAUUAUAACACAGGACUUGAGAGUUGAUAUAGCCCUGAGGUAGGACAGUGAAGAUGUAUUGCUGGCUUUGCUAGCUGAAAGCAAACUGCUUCUGGUGGAAAGCAUUUGCCAGUUAAAUAGCUGGUACAAGGUACCAGGGGUUGUGUUCAUUUGCUCAAGCUGUAAAACUCCAUCUUAUAUAGCAGCUAAAAUUAGAUUCACCCCCUGAUUAAGCUUAUAAUAAUCCACCAUUAUUCUCCAAGAUCCAUCUGUCUUCUGUGCAGGCCAAAUAGGCAAGUUGAAUGGGGAUAUGGUGGGAAUCACCAUCUCUGCAUCUUCCAGGUCCUUGACGGUGGCACCAACCUGUGCAAUCCUUCCAGGGAUAUAGACACAGUAUUGCUUUUGAUUAACUAUUUUUCUAUGUGGAGGAAGCUCUAAUGGCUUCCAAUUGGCCUUUUCCACCAUAUUAGCCCUCAUAUCAUAGGUCAGGUGAGCAAUGUAAGGAUUCUGCCUGUGACCGAGUAUGUCUACUCCAAUUAUGCAUUCUGGAACUGGAGAAAUAGCCCAAGAUGGGUUCUGAGGCUCGCUGGAUCCACUGUGAAACUCAGCUGAGCUGAAACUCCAUUGAUCACCUGACUUCCAUAAGUCCCUACUUUGACUGGUGGGCCUCAGUGAUGUUUUGGGUCUCCUGGCAUUGGUGAUAUCAGCUCAGCACCAGUGUCCAGUAGUCCCCUAGAGGUCUGAUUAUUUUCUUUUUCCCAAUGCACAGCUACCCUGGUAAAAGGCCAUAGGUCUCUUUUGGAAAGUUGGGAGAAAGAUUAAUAGUACAAAUUUGGGGGAAUUGGCUCAAGGAGUUCAAGGGUCGAUAAACUGGCUCAAGUCUGGGAAUUGAUUGAGGGGCCAAGAUUCUCUGUUUUUGUGAUUCAGCUUAGACUUUUGGUUACUUGACCUAGAACUUUUAUGCUUAUACAGAUGAAGUAAGAAUUUAUUAUGCUCCUUGUCUAUUUCACUUCUGGGGCCGCCAUGGUCAACUGUUAACCAACACAUAAGUCUACUUACAACAUAAAUCUACUUAUGGUAUUGGUUAGCAGCUGACCAUGGUGUUCCUAGAAGUGAAAUAGACUAUUCUGAUUGCUGCUGUGACUUUGCUGUACAUCAUGAUAACCACAUCCUCCUUGCCUGUGGCAGCUGAAUAUAUACCUUGUCCGCUGCCACCCUGAGAUCCAGUUACUCCAUUUGAUGUAGGUUUCCCAAUCAGUGACCACAGUUCCCACUGUAAGUUCUGGCCUACAAAGAAGAGUGAUCACAGAGCUCUUCAAAGACACUGGGGCUCUCCUCAUAAAUUUACUUCUCACAGUCAUGGUGAAAGGUGUGUGUUUUGGACCGUUUCAGGGUCUGUGAGCAGGCCUUAAAUGACAAAUUUAUUUUAACGUUCCAAUCUCUCUAAGCCUUUGAGUGUAGCAAGAUAGUUCUGGUAUUUCCAGCUCACUCACUCUGGGCCACCUUUUAGUCCUCAUUUUAGCCAACCAACCAACCAAACUUUAAAGCCCUUUCUAACUCCCUGAGCUGAAAUAUUAAAUGCAGAAUCUCUUCUUAGUGGGCCCAUAUCAAUAAAUUUGUCCUCAUCCAACUUUAUGUUCCUUCAAGCAUUAUCCCACAACCUUAAUGUCUGUUUCCAUACAUAUUCCCCAGAUUCCUGUUUGUGUAAAUUAGAAAACUCAAGUAGCUCCUUUAAAGUGUAGCACAUCUCAUGAGUCAUACUCCAUACCCUACCUUUAGGAUCCUAUUGGGGCUUAAGUCUAGUUACAGGUUUAGAAACAAAGAAGUGUCUUGGGGGUGGACCCUGAGGACAAUCUGCUUGUCUUGCAGGGCAACUGCCUCGAGGCAGCCAUUGCAACUUCCUCAAACAAGACAGAGUUAAUUUCCUCUCACUGGGGUGGAGAGGCUUCUCAUACUGGGGACAGAAAGACUCCUUCUACUGACAAAGAAGUCUGAUCAAAAUUUAGGGUCUCAAUGUCCUCAGCUUCAUCAGGGUCCCAUUUCAACUUUCUACACAUCCCAUUUCAAAUUUAGGAUCUAGUUCCUUUCCAAUCAAUGCCUCAUUUAGCAGUGGGCACUCUGCAAGGCUUGGAAUUCAAUUUACAUUGUAAGUCAGCCUCUUGCAGGAUGAGAUUCUGGGUUUGGUUUUCAGCAAUCUCAGCUCUGAGGCUACAGGAGAUAAUGGUCUCUUUCAGGGCAGACAUAGAAGCUCUUAGGUCAUUAAUUCAGCAUUUGUGCUGGAAACUAAUAUCCCUGAGCUUAACUUUUUAUUUCCCCACUUCUUUGUCUAGCAACAUUAGCUGCAACCAGCCAAUGUCAUUACACUUCUAGUGUGACAAAAAUGUUGGAAAGUAUUAUAUACACACUCAGAUCCUUGCUUCUUAUAAGUGUUUGGUUAGGAGUAUUGAAGGAUGAUAUUUUGCCUAUCUCUGUUACCAGAUCACUCCAUGACCUAACAGUGCUCUCUUUACACAUGCAUACAUGUGUAAAGAGAUUUAUUAUAAAGAAUUGGCUCAUGAGAUUAUGGAGACUGGCAAGUCCAAAAUCUGCAGUGUGGGCUGGCAGGCUUGAGAUAGAGCAGGGGUCCAUCUUAGGGGCCUGCAGGCAUAGAAAUUAAAGGAAAUCUUGAGUUCCUUCAAGGGAAAUUUCAGGCACCAACCCAGCCCUGAGAAGUAAAUGAGUAACUUGAUAAACAAGCAGGUAAUAGUAGCUUAAAACAAUAGUCAAGGAAGUUAGAGUCAUAGGAUAUUUGACUAAAGAUAACAUCUUAACGUAUGUCCCUAAGUGCUUUUUCAGAAAUCUGGACCUCCACUAAAUGAAUCCACUGGCACAUAGACCUCUCAGAUAAGGGGGAAUGGAGGACUAAACUCUGACCACUGUUCUUUGUUCUGAAGUUCUUCCUGAGGUGCUGGGAGGAAGUCACACAAGUCAGACUUAGCAUAUCUUUCUACUCCCCUCAAAUUUUUAAACAAAGCUUCUCUUCCUUAACCAAUUGCAAAUCAGAAAAAUUUUGAAGCUAUUACCUAGAAGCCCUCACUUCAAGAUAUCCCCACUUUGUAGGCCAAACCAUUGUAUAACCUCCAUAUAUUGCUUUACAAUUUUGCCUGUAACUUCUGCUUUCCUGAAAUUUAUCCCCACCUUUAAAAAUUCUUGCUUGCAAGCCACUGGAUAGGUUGUGUCUUAAGCGUGAGCUGCCCAGUUGUCCUUGCCUGGUGUCCUAUAAAUAAAUGUUCUUCUUUCUCCUGCUGCAAAUCUCAGUGUGGGUGUUUGCCCUUACUGUGCUGAGAGAGUGGACCCCAGUUCAGUUCUGUAACAGGCUCAAGAUACAGGAGAGCCAGUGGUGCAGUUCCAGUCUGAAGGCCAGCAGGCAAGACUCAGAAGAGCCACUGGUGCGGAUGAAGUCUGAUGGCCAUCUGCCAGAGAAUUUUCUCUUGUUCAGGGAGGCUGAUCUUUUUGUUCUAUUUAAACUUUCAACUGAGUGGAUGAGGCCCACUCACAUUAUUGAGGGCAAUCUUCUUUACCCAAAAUUUACUGAUUUAAAUGUUAAACUCAUCCCAAAAUAAUCUGCAAGUGGACAAAUAAAAUUAACCACUACACAGACUUAAGAGUAACAAAAUACUAUGAUCAUAUCAAUAGAUGGAGAAAAAACACUGCUGGAUAGAAUUCAACAUUUAUGCAUAAUUUUUUUAAACCUAGGCAAACUAAGAAUAGUAAUGAAGUUCCUCAAUCUGAUAAAAGGCAUAUACUAGAAAACCUACAGCUAACAUCAUUCUUAACAGUCAAAGACUGAAUACUUUCUAAGUCUGGGAACUAGGCAAGGAUAUCUGCCUUCACUACUCCUAUUUGAUGGCAUAUUAAAAUGCUUGCAAAUGCAAUAAGGCAAGAAAAAGAAAUAAUAGGCAUCCAGAUUUGAAAGAAAAAUGUUACUACCUUUAUUAAGAGAUGAUAUGAUUGUCUAUAUAGAAAAUUCACUUUAAAAACUUUCUAGAACUAGUGUGUUGAACAAGGUCAUACCACUGUGAGACCAAAGAAAAUGACUGAGGUGAGCCUCAAUCAAUUUAGAGGUUUAUUUUGCUGGGAAAAGGAGAUGCAAGCCACAGUAGGAUCUGUGGCCCAAACUUUUUCCAAAGAAGAUUUUGAGGGCUUCAAUAUUUAAAAGGGAAAAUGUGAGCAGCAGGGGAAAGGGGAAAGAAAAAAAAAAGAGGGAGUGUAUGGCCACAUUCUUGUGAGGCUUUGAUUAGUCUCACUGAAUCCACAUGUUGUGCAUGAAAAGGAAGGAGCGUAAAGGGAACAGUCAAUUAUGUAUUCAUCUUGCACUUGGGAAACCUACACUUAACAUAAGAUAAACACAGAGUAGAGGUAAAAGUCAAAUAUGUAUUCAUGUUAGGGUGGGUUGGGGGAUGAUUUCUAGUCUCCUAUUUUCCUGUACUAGUAAGAAUAACCUGUUAAUUUACAUCGUCAGGAUGAGAGAGGCCACCUGUGGAGACAUUUGGCAUUCUAUCUGUAGUUAUAUUUUUAGUAAAAAAAGAAAAGACAGCUUUUAUUUGGGUAACUCACUUCCAAACUUAAUUUUUCUCUUUGGCAUAGGGAGUUUUGGGUCCCAAUAUUUUAUUUUCCUGUCACAGAACAUAAUAUCAAUAAACAAAAUCAAUUGCAUUUCUUUAUAAUAACACUGGGCAGUUGGAAACUGAUAUUUUAAAAGCAUUUACAAUAGCCUUCAAAAUGAAGUACUUAGGUAUAAGUAAAUUUGUCAAAAUAUGUGCAGCUUUUACAUGCUGAAAAAUCCAGAACAGCAAUGAAAGAGAUCGAAGAAGAUCUAAAUAGAGUGACAUACCAUGUUCACAGAUUGGAAGGCUUACUUAAGAUGCCAAUAAAUCCCAAAAGUGAUUUAUAGAUUUAGCACAUUCCCAAUUAAAAUAUCAGCAAGAUCCUUUGUACAUAUAGACAACUUAUUCUAAAAUGUGUAUGGAUGGGUUAAGGAACUAGAAUAGCCAAAAUCUUUAAAAAGAAGAACAAAGUUCAAGGACUCAUAUUACCUAAUUUUAAAACAUACGAUAAAACUCCAGUAGUCAAUACAGUGUAGUAUUGGCAAAUCAAUAGAUAUGUGCAUACAUGGAACAGAACAGAAACUCAAAAAAUAGGUUCACAAAAAUACGGCCAACGAAUUUUGACAAAGGUGCAAAGGCAGUUAGGUGAAGAAAGAACAAACUUUUCUCUAAAUGGUCCUAGAACAACUGAAUACCAUAUGUAAAAAAUAAAUAAAUAAGCCUUAACCUACACCCCACAUAAUAUUUAAAAAUUUACUCAAAUAGCAUCGUAGACCUACAUGUAAAACAUAAAACUAGCCUGUUAGGAACUGGGCUGCACAGCAGGAGGUGAGUGGCAGGCCAGCAAGCAUUACCAUCUGAGCUCUGCUCCUGUCAGAUCAGUGGUGGCAUUAGAUUCUCACAGGAGCUUGGAACCCAUUGUGAAUUGCACAUGCAAGGGAUCUAGGUUGCAUGCUCCUUAUAAGAAUCUAAUGCCUGAUGAUCUGAGGUGGAACAGUGUCAUCCUGAAACCAUCUCCUCUGUCAGUCCAUGGAAAAAAUUAUCUUUGACAAAACUGGUCCCUGGUGCCAAAAAUGUUGGGGACUGCUGAGACAAAGGAUUGUAUCCAGAAUGUACUCUACUCAAUUAAAAAAAAAAAAAAACUUUUAAGGAGCAAAACAUUUUAACAGACACUUCACCAAAAGAUAUAUGGAUAGCAAAUAAACUCAUGAACAGAUACUCAGUACCAUUAGCUAUUAAGGAAGUGCAUAUUAAAGCUACAAUGACACACCAUUACAUGCCUAUUAAAAUGGCAAAAUUUUAAAAAAAGAACUCAAUACCAAGUGUUGGUGAGGAUGAGGAGCAACUGGAGCUCUCAUGCAUACAUUUGUUGAUGGGAAUACAAAAUGAUACAAUCACUCUGGAAAAUAGUUGAGCAGUUGUUGUAAAGUUAACCAUAAACUUACAAUAUGACCCAGCAACCACACUCCUAGGUAUUUACUAUAGAGAAAUGAAAACUUCCAUUCACACAAUAAUUAGUUCAUGAAUGUUUAUACCAACAUUAUUUAUAAUUGCCAGAAAAGUGGAAAUGAUCCCAAUAUGUCUCAGUGGGUAAAUAGGCAAACAAACUUGUAUAUCCAUACAACAGAAAACU
Pan troglodytes (chimpanzee) is the source of this 7465-nucleotide long non-coding RNA. RefSeq lists it as uncharacterized. The transcript is spliced from 3 exons. The record is from RefSeq and is a predicted model, not a curated record. NCBI's taxonomy places the organism in Eukaryota, Metazoa, Chordata, Mammalia, Primates, Hominidae.